Small nucleolar RNA from Ornithorhynchus anatinus (platypus), 138 nucleotides. The record is from RefSeq and is a predicted model, not a curated record. NCBI's taxonomy places the organism in Eukaryota, Metazoa, Chordata, Mammalia, Monotremata, Ornithorhynchidae.
GUCCUCUCAGGGUCGCAUCUGGAGAGAUUCCAGUACUCCACCAGUCUCGACUAGAGGAGGGAGAGUCAAGCAGAGGCAUACCCAUUCCAUUUUUAGUUUGGGCAGUGGCUAGUGAGUGGAAGGCAAUCUGUUACAAGU